GAAAUAACACAAAUUUCUUUUCUUUACUUCUUUUUAGGGGAGCAGCACACAAAAAUCGGUGAACUCACUGCAGACGUGGGCGUUUGCACCAAAAAACUCCAGCGAUGCGAGGCAGAACUCGAGGAGCGGGAGGUGACGAUCCGGGAAAACGAAGCGGAGCUCAGGCGCCUGAGGGAGCUUCUGGAGGAGAAGGAUUCGGAAAUUCGUAAGUUCUGGAGCAAAAAUACAAAAAAUUUGGACAAAAUACAACAGAAAUUAAAGGAAAUUGUCCUGGAAAUCUGAUUUUCUUCCCUAAAUGUUCAGUCCUGUUCAAUGAUUUCAUUAAAUUAAUGUAACAAUUUUCAGUUUUCAGAUAUUUUCUCUGAAAUUUUAGCAUUAAAUGAAAUAUUUGCUGUUGUCUGCUUGAACUCAGUGUCAUAAAUUGGGGGAAAAUGGGGUUUUGUUCAUUUCUACUCCUUUUUUUGUUUCUCUCUAGGCAAGAAGGACGCUGUGAUUCGUAAGUGUCAUUUUCUGAGAAACCAGAUGCUUGAGGGGUCACGAGUUUUUUAGUUUAAUAUUUUUAUUCUCAUUUCUAUUCUAAAUUUCUAAAUUUCUAAAAAGAAAUAAUCUGCAUUUCACCUUUUUCCUCUUUUUUUUUAGAAGAAUUGAAGGAGCGGGAAAGUGGUGAGUGAUUUUUUUUUUCCUUUGUUUUUAACAAAUUUCAGAAAAUUGUACUUCAAAUUUUAGAGAUAAUUUUAUUUCUAAUAAUGUUUCAUUAAUAAU
RNAcentral lists this long non-coding RNA (762 nucleotides) under Calidris pugnax (ruff). Its description in RNAcentral is "lncRNA (ENSCPUG00000016783.1)". The record is from RNAcentral. Lineage: Eukaryota; Metazoa; Chordata; Aves; Charadriiformes; Scolopacidae.